This 102-nucleotide small nuclear RNA is filed under the name Salvator merianae (Argentine black and white tegu). The record is from RNAcentral. Lineage: Eukaryota; Metazoa; Chordata; Lepidosauria; Squamata; Teiidae.
GGCUUUGGCAGGCCAUAUAGUAAAAUUGGAAUGAUACAGAGAAGAUUGGCAUGGCCCCUGUGCAAGGAUGACAUGCAAAUUUGUGAAGUGUUCCAUAAAAAA